RNAcentral lists this long non-coding RNA (624 nucleotides) under Equus caballus (horse). Its description in RNAcentral is "lncRNA (ENSECAG00000059919.1)". Lineage: Eukaryota; Metazoa; Chordata; Mammalia; Perissodactyla; Equidae. The record is from RNAcentral.
GUAGAUGAUCAAGGCAUCCAGUCAAUGCAGGCCGACAAGUAGCCUGAGGACUUGCUUUUAGGUAGGGCUGGUCCCUAGGGUGGGCUGCCUGCCCUGGCUGAACUGGAUUAAAUCUGUGCUUUAGUGGGUGUGACAGACCCCUGGGCUAACAGGCCAAGGGAUAAACCUCAAUGGUGCCCAUCAAGUUCUGUGUCAGCAUGCCUGGACCAGGUCAGAACAAUGGCCCCUACCAAUGUCUCAGUCUCCAGAGAGGUCCCUCCUCUCACCAAGAUGCCCUCAGAGCCCAUCAGGUUGAGAGAAGGGAAUUUCUGGCCUGCAAGAAAGAGGGACAUUUCCCAGGCUGGACCACUUGUGGUGAGACACCCCGUGCCAGUGCUGCCCAGUUGCCUAGUGUCUCUUGGUGGCAGAGGGGGAAGUUCAGGCCAGCAAAGAAGCAUUUUGUUGAGGAUUUUUGCACCUACAUUCUUCAGUGAUAUUGGCCUGUAAUCUUCCAGGCAAAGGAAAUAAAAGAAAAAAAUAAACAAAUGGGACAAGAUCAAACUUAAAAGCUUCUGCACAGCAAAGGAAACCAUCAACAAAACAAAAUGGCAACCUAACAAUUGAGAGAAGAUAUUUGCAAGUCAU